CGUGAGUGAUGAAGGCUUUCGGGUCGUAAAGCUCUGUCAAGUGGGAAGAACAAGCUUGAUGUUAAUACCAUCAUGAACUGACGGUACCACUGUAGGAAGCACCGGCUAACUCCGUGCCAGCAGCCGCGGUAAUACGGGGGGUGCAAGCGUUAUUCGGAAUCAUUGGGCGUAAAGAGCGCGUAGGCGGCCCUUUAAGUCAGAUGUGAAAUCCCGGGGCUUAACCCCGGAAGUGCAUUUGAAACUAUUGGGCUUGAGUAUGGGAGAGGGAAGUGGAAUUCCUGGUGUAGAGGUGAAAUUCGUAGAUAUCAGGAGGAACACCGGUGGCGAAGGCGACUUCCUGGACCAAUACUGACGCUGAGGCGCGAAGGCGUGGGGAGCAAACAGGAUUAGAUACCCUGGUAGUCCACGCAGUAAACGUUGAACACUAGGUGUAGCGGGUAUUGACCCCUGCUGUGCCGCAGUUAACGCAUUAA
RNAcentral lists this ribosomal RNA (473 nucleotides) under uncultured delta proteobacterium. RNAcentral's name for it is "bacterial SSU rRNA". It matches the Rfam family "Bacterial small subunit ribosomal RNA", at positions 400 to 863 of the family's 1533-position model. The record is from RNAcentral. Lineage: Bacteria; Deltaproteobacteria.